This 576-nucleotide ribosomal RNA is filed under the name uncultured eukaryote. RNAcentral's name for it is "SSU rRNA". It matches the Rfam family "Eukaryotic small subunit ribosomal RNA", at positions 203 to 788 of the family's 1831-position model. The record is from RNAcentral.
UAUUUAUUAGAUAACAAGCCAAUAUUCCUCUGGUCUAUUGUGGUGACUCAUAAUAACUGAUCGAAUCGCAAGGCCUAUGGCCGCGAUAAGACAUUCAAGUUUCUGCCCCAUCAGCUUUCGAUGGUAGUGUAUUGGACUACCAUGGCGUUUACGGGUAACGGAGGAUUAGGGUUCGAUUCCGGAGAGGGAGCCUGAGAAACGGCUACCACAUCUAAGGAAGGCAGCAGGCGCGUAAAUUACCCAAUCCUGACUCUGGGAGGUAGUGACAAGAAAUAACGGACCGAGGCCUUCGGGCUUCGGGAUUGCAAUGAGCCGAAUUUACACCCCUUAGCGAGGAUCGAUUGGAGGGCAAGCCUGGUGCCAGCAGCCGCGGUAAUUCCAGCUCCAAUAGCGUAUAUUAAAGUUGUUGCAGUUAAAAAGCUCGUAGUUGGAUUUCUGGGAGGGUGCCAAUGUCCGCCGACGUGCGUGCGCAGCGGCGCCCUUCCAUCCUUCUGUUAACGCCUCUUGGCAUUCAUUUGCUGGUGGCGGGCUCAGAUAUUUUACCUUGAGAAAAUUAGAGUGUUUCAGGCAGGCUAG